CCUACGGGAUGCAGCAGUGGGGAAUAUUGCACAAUGGGGGAAACCCUGAUGCAGCGACGCCGCGUGAGCGAUGAAGUAUUUCGGUAUGUAAAGCUCUAUCAGCAGGGAAGAAAAUGACGGUACCUUACUAAGAAGCCCCGGCUAACUACGUUCCAGCAGCCACGGUAAUACGUAGGGGGCAAGCGUUAUCCGGAUUUACUGGGUGUAAAGUGAGCGUAGACGGCUGUGCAAGCCAGAUGUGAAAGCCCGGGGCUCAACCCCGGGACUGCAUUUGGAACUGUGUGGCUGGAGUGUAGGAGAGGAAGGCGGAAUUACUAGUGUAGCGGUGAAAUGCGUAGAUAGUAGGAGGAACACCAGUGGCGAAGGCGGCCUGCUGGACGAUGACUGACGUUGAGGCUCGAAAGCGUGGGGAGCAAACAGGAUUAGAUACCCGAGUAGUC
This 440-nucleotide ribosomal RNA is filed under the name uncultured bacterium. RNAcentral's name for it is "partial 16S ribosomal RNA". It matches the Rfam family "Bacterial small subunit ribosomal RNA", at positions 338 to 795 of the family's 1533-position model. The record is from RNAcentral.